AGUGAACGCUGGCGGUAGGCCUAACACAUGCAAGUCGAACGGCAGCACAGUAAGAGCUUGCUCUUACGGGUGGCGAGUGGCGGACGGGUGAGGAAUACAUCGGAAUCUACUUUUUCGUGGGGGAUAACGUAGGGAAACUUACGCUAAUACCGCAUACGACCUACGGGUGAAAGCAGGGGAUCUUCGGACCUUGCGCGAUUGAAUGAGCCGAUGUCGGAUUAGCUAGUUGGCGGGGUAAAGGCCCACCAAGGCGACGAUCCGUAGCUGGUCUGAGAGGAUGAUCAGCCACGCUGGAGCUGAGACACGGUCCAGACUCCUACGGGAGGCAGCAGUGGGGAAUAUUGGACAAUGGGCGCAAGCCUGAUCCAGCCAUACCGCGUGGGUGAAGAAGGCCUUCGGGUUGUAAAGCCCUUUUGUUGGGAAAGAAAAGCAGCAGGUUAAUACCCCGCUGUUCUGACGGUACCCAAAGAAUAAGCACCGGCUAACUUCGUG
Molecule: ribosomal RNA, 492 nt
Filed under: uncultured bacterium
Lineage: Bacteria
Description: partial 16S ribosomal RNA
Rfam family: Bacterial small subunit ribosomal RNA
Source: RNAcentral